Oncorhynchus tshawytscha (Chinook salmon) is the source of this 677-nucleotide long non-coding RNA. RefSeq lists it as uncharacterized. The transcript is spliced from 2 exons. The record is from RefSeq and is a predicted model, not a curated record. Lineage: Eukaryota; Metazoa; Chordata; Actinopteri; Salmoniformes; Salmonidae.
GGGUCAUCUUGCGCCGAAUUGCGCAUGUACAGGCAUUCAAAUCAACGGCAGUCUUUCGAUAUAAACGUGUUUUUGACGAAAAUUAAAACGUGUCAGUUUAUCACUUUCACGAGGUUGGCGUAGUAACAUGUUCAACUACUUAGGAAACUAGCUCGAAUCUAGGUUUUGUCUUUUGGUUUCGAGAAAAUUAACAACUGAGGUAGAUAUUUUCACUUCUCUCAUUGACUUCUCAAGCUCCAAACCCCGGCAUGUUCUGUUUAGUCUAUUUCACAACCGUUCCUGGAAAUCGAGCUAUGCUGCGCCUCUGGGUUUAGAAACUCUGUGAUUUAGUCUAUAAAACAGGUUGUCAGACACCAGUCUACAUCUGGGUAGAGAAACAUCCCAUACAUUCUGAAGUAUGUGCUGUACUUGGCUUCUAUUUUGAACAUCUACUUGUGAUUUCUGUCUGGUUGACAUCCAUCGGCAAGCUUCGUUGACUUAAGGUAGACCAGAAAAGCCACAUCCCAGAAGGGCAGAUGAGCAGCAACGCUGACUAGAAGCACCCGCUGCUGUUACUUUACAAAUGUUUUGAAUUAAAAUAAACGUGUAUCUACACACUGAAGAAGGCUGUAAAGCCGGAAAAUCUGUACACUAUCCCUGAUGCAGUAAAAAUAAUUAAACAUAAAAUGAUGAAGUAA